This 439-nucleotide ribosomal RNA is filed under the name Salmonella enterica subsp. enterica serovar Typhimurium. Its description in RNAcentral is "partial 23S ribosomal RNA". It matches the Rfam family "Bacterial large subunit ribosomal RNA", at positions 1 to 470 of the family's 2925-position model. The record is from RNAcentral. RNAcentral also lists the same sequence under 1 other name. Lineage: Bacteria; Pseudomonadati; Pseudomonadota; Gammaproteobacteria; Enterobacterales; Enterobacteriaceae.
GGGUUGUGAGGUUAAGCGACUAAGCGUACACGGUGGAUGCCCUGGCAGUCAGAGGCGAUGAAGGACGUGCUAAUCUGCGAUAAGCGCCGGUAAGGUGAUAUGAACCGUUAUAACCGGCGAUUUCCGAAUGGGGAAACCCAGUGUGAUUCGUCACACUAUCAUUAACUGAAUCCAUAGGUUAAUGAGGCGAACCGGGGGAACUGAAACAUCUAAGUACCCCGAGGAAAAGAAAUCAACCGAGAUUCCCCCAGUAGCGGCGAGCGAACGGGGAGGAGCCCAGAGCCUGAAUCAGCAUGUGUGUUAGUGGAAGCGUCUGGAAAGGCGCGCGAUACAGGGUGACAGCCCCGUACACAAAAGCGCAUGUGCUGUGAGCUCGAUGAGUAGGGCGGGACACGUGGUAUCCUGUCUGAAUAUGGGGGGACCAUCCUCCAAGGCUAAA